UGAAAUUUUGGAAGAAUCACCUUCGGAUAGAAGUGAUUUGGAUUGAUAUCAAUGUGAAUCCACUUGGUUCUUCCUCCUCUUGCUUGUAGUGAUCAUUUGAGAUGAAAAUGGCAAUGAAUUCUUGGAGUUUGAAUCCCAAAACAGAAGGAGAAACUCAAACUCGAUUUCAAAAAAAUCUUCAAGGAGUUCUAUGGAGUAGGGUUCUGAGUUUGCUUGGCAAUUCUUGGGCAAUGUGUGUGUAUCAUUUCUGAAGCAAUGCACUUGUAUUUAUAGGCUAUGGAAUUC
Molecule: long non-coding RNA, 285 nt
Filed under: Lathyrus oleraceus (garden pea)
Lineage: Eukaryota; Viridiplantae; Streptophyta; Magnoliopsida; Fabales; Fabaceae
Description: Pisum sativum (pea) long non-coding RNA (PSAT_LNC001543)
Source: RNAcentral